CUCGUGCAACACAACCACUAACAAUGCUGCACCAUACAGGAUGUUCCAGAAUUAACUAUCUGUUUCAAUGAAAUUGAGCAAAUUUUAAAAAAACUGACAGAAUUUUAUUAUGAAAACAAAUAGAUUUAUAAAUCUUAUGUCAAACUUUUAUUGAAAAUUUUCAAUAUGUCUGUAUCCCUGCAUACUUCAAAUCUCUCCCUAGCAUUGUGAAACACAUUUUGAAGCAUUUCAGGAGUUAGCGCGUGCACUGCUAACUGAAUGUGUUCUUUAAGCUCAGCUGAACGAUUGCUCCAUCUUGGGGAUGGAGAUAAAGAAAAUGAUUACUGUUAUGGACACAUAAGAGGUGCAACAAUAUCAAAGGAAG
Molecule: long non-coding RNA, 364 nt
Organism: Octopus sinensis (East Asian common octopus)
Lineage: Eukaryota; Metazoa; Mollusca; Cephalopoda; Octopoda; Octopodidae
Exons: 3
Source: RefSeq, a predicted model, not a curated record